This is a long non-coding RNA of Pollicipes pollicipes, 283 nucleotides long. RefSeq lists it as uncharacterized. Lineage: Eukaryota; Metazoa; Arthropoda; Thecostraca; Pollicipedomorpha; Pollicipedidae. The transcript is spliced from 3 exons. The record is from RefSeq and is a predicted model, not a curated record.
GUCCGGUCUGAAUCACCGUGGUCUGAUUGAAGGGAGCGCGAGCAGAUAGAACACCUGAUCUUCAGGAAGGUGUCAGACGUGAAGAGGGAGCGGGAGCUGGCCGAGCGGCGCAAGAACGAACCGCCGCCCGACAUCAGCCAGGACCACCUGGUCAGGAAGCUGUUCUCUCGCUUCAAAAAGUCCAGUGACAGUGGUCCGGGCGGCAGGGACGUAGAGGCCGGUAAGACUGAGGCCGACAAUGGCGGCGGCGGCGGCGGCGCCACCGUCGCCACCGCUAACAGUG